AAGGCUUUAAGUUAAACAAACUAUUAACCUUCAAAGUUGAAAAAAUAAUUAUUAUUAUAAACCUUA
Molecule: transfer RNA, 66 nt
Filed under: Cosmoscarta bispecularis
Lineage: Eukaryota; Metazoa; Arthropoda; Insecta; Hemiptera; Cercopidae
Description: tRNA-Trp
Source: RNAcentral